This 2373-nucleotide unclassified non-coding RNA is filed under the name Eurytemora carolleeae. RNAcentral's name for it is "uncharacterized LOC111703647". Lineage: Eukaryota; Metazoa; Arthropoda; Copepoda; Calanoida; Temoridae. The record is from RNAcentral.
AAAACUGUUCCCCAUAUUCAUGGGUAUAUAUUUAUUUAUCUGUUCUCGUGAAUUAAUAGAAUAAUUAACCUAACCUAACCUAACCUAUUCCACCUGUUUUCUCGUACAUUAAUAAAAGAAAAAGAUGCUCGACGAAGUAGUGGACGAGCUGAAAAAGAUUCCAACCUCGGCCCUUUCUGCUUUCUGGAUUCGAUUCGUGAUUAUAUCAACUGUCACCUUGACUUGGCUAGUUUCCUUCCUACCUUGGUAUCUACAGGUGUUUGGACUGUUUUCCGUGGGGUUCCUGGUGUUUGCGGCCAAGGCGUUGAAGAUUAAGAUCCUGGCUGGCUCCGCCACAGACCCGGAGAAACAAGAGGCGGAGGAGAGACCCGCCAUCGUACUAGCUAUGUCUCCAAAAUCCGACAAGCAAGAGAUUGACCAGUCAUGGCACUGCGUGAACCCCAGCAAGGUGGUGGACUUUGUCAAGACCAUCUCGGACAAGACCUGCAUCUCCCUCGGUGAGAAGUUCAAGGAGGAGCACCUGGAGAAGUCUGACUGGUUGAACCUGACCCUCCAGCACCUGUUCCGGAACAUGAGGGCAGGGAUGGAGGACAUAAUCUUGAACAUUAUCUGGCCCCAGGUCUGGAAACAAUUGCAGGAUCUUCCCAUCAACCUGGAGAUCGAACUUUACACUCUCAGUUUAGGUAUGGUAGCUCCAACCUUUGAUGAGAUUAAGGUUCUAAAGGAGAUUGAGGAUUCUAUAGUCUUGGACUUAGCUCUCAGCUAUCCCAGUGAAGCUGCUAUGCAAGUGAAGAUUAAAACUGAUGUGAUACCUAAAAUGACUGCUGAGAUAUCCUCUAUUCUUCUAACUCUAAGUAUAAGAAUUACAAUACGGAAUGUAUCUUCUCACCCUCCAUUUAUUCAAGGGUUUGAAGUGAGUUGUAAGAACUAUCCUGAGAUAGAAUGGUGCUUGAAGGUUCUAGGUUCUAACAUGAGCAAGAUUGCGGGUCUUGACAGAACUAUUAAACAACUCAUACGAGAUAACGUCAAGAUGUUAGUUUACCCCAAAAAGCUAUGUUUUCCUGUGGCAAUGAUCCCUCUUGAUCCCUUGCUGAAACAGAAGCUUGGACUCAAGGAUGGAUAUGAUCCUUGCUUUAGGAUGGUGAUCCCUCAUCCCAGAGGAGUUGUCAGAAUCAAAAUAAAGAACGUUAUCUUCGACUCCCCCCGCGAGUACCUUCUCCUGAAAACCCGGGAUCCCUACUUGCUUAUCCGGGUCGGUUCCGCCGAGUUUCGAUCCAAGACGAAGACACGAACGAGCAGACCCGAGUUCAAUGUCCUCUGUGAGAUCCCUGUUGACAUCACGACGGACAUGAAGGUUGAGAUAUAUCUGAUGGAUGAUGAUCUGGGGACGGAUCAGGAAAUUGGAAGAUUUGUUGAAAAACUGGAGUUUAUUGAACACUGUUGUGAAGGUGAGCAGGCGUUGAGAUGGAAUGGUUUAUUAGGACGGAAUCCUUGUAAAAUAUUCUCUAGUGCUCAGUGGAUAUCUCAGUCAUUUCAUCUUGAUGAAACUUGGAGCGGUAGUGGAGUGCUAGCCUUCUCUUGUGUUAGACUUAGAGGAACUUCCUUGAUUAAGCCUAAACUUACUUUAAAGUUGGAUGAUUAUACACCUGAGAUCGGAGAACAUCUGAUAGAAAGAUCAUGGGAUGCUAUCACAGCUUUUAAGACCCUGGAGGAGUUCAGGAUUUGUCCUUUAGAUCGGGAAAAUUGGGACCUUUUUCUCCUUCAGGGGGGAAAAAUGCGAUUGUUACCCGGAGAUUCUAGGGUGUGGAUUAUAGUGCAUGAUCUGCUGGAUAGACGGGACGAGGUUGGGAGAAGAGAGUGGAAAGGAGAAGUCCAUCUCUCACAGAUUCUUAAAGCAGGGAAAUCUCCGUUGGAGAUUAAGCUUAGAAUUGGGUACACUAAACCUCAGAUACUCGCAAACAAGCUGAGAAAGAGAAUUAGGGAACAGGGCCAGGCGAUUAUUGGAAUUAGUCCUUCUAAACUGAAAUCUAAAGAAUCUGAGAAGCUCCGUGUCACCCUACAGUUUUCAGUUUACAAAGAUAAAGAGUAGAGAAAUAAUAUCAGUCCUGUUCUGACAGGAUUGAAAAUACACGUCAAGCUUAUGUUUUAUAAAGGGACUUCUCUUUAACUGUUUUCCUAUUGUUUUCUUGUUUCAUGUUUACAUUAGUUAAAUAUUCUUUAGCAAGUCUUGUUUUUUGUUCUAGUUCUAAAUUAAAUAUUGUCAAUGAAAAGUAUUUGUCCUAAAUCUUCUAAAAAUUGGGGUUUUCUUUAAGAAAUGCAUAUAUUUAAUUUAACCCUUUUCCUAAUCUCAAAACAUUUUUUUAGCGAGAAAAA